GAUGAAGAACGCAGCGAAAUGCGAUACUUGGUGUGAAUUGCAGAAUCCCGUGAACCAUCGAGUCUUUGAACGCAAGUUGCGCCCGAAGCCAUUAGGCCGAGGGCACGCCUGCCUGGGCGUCACACGUCGUUGCCCCCCCAUCUACUCCUUCGGGAUUGCGGGGGGCGGAUGAUGGCCUCCCGUGCGCCUCGUCGCGCGGUUGGCAUAAAUGCCAAGUCCUCGGCGACGCACGCCACGACAAUCGGUGGUUGCGAAACCUCGGUUGCCCGUCGUGUGCGGUCGUCGCGCAUCGAGGGCUCGAAAAAAUUGCCGGGCUCCGGCUCGACUUUCAACGCGACCCCAGGUCAGGCGGGGUUACCCGCUGAAUUUAAGCAUAUCAAUAAGCGGAGGA
This 391-nucleotide unclassified non-coding RNA is filed under the name soil metagenome. Its description in RNAcentral is "partial contains 5.8S ribosomal RNA, internal transcribed spacer 2, and large subunit ribosomal RNA". The stretch from base 1 to 122 matches the Rfam family "5.8S ribosomal RNA", at positions 35 to 154 of the family's 154-position model. The record is from RNAcentral.